ACGGGUGAGUAACGCGUGGGAACGUACCCUUUUCUACGGAAUAACGCAUGGAAACGUGUGCUAAUACCGUAUGUGCCCUUCGGGGGAAAGAUUUAUCGGAAAAGGAUCGGCCCGCGUUGGAUUAGCUAGUUGGUGGGGUAAAGGCCUACCAAGGCGACGAUCCAUAGCUGGUCUGAGAGGAUGAUCAGCCACAUUGGGACUGAGACACGGCCCAAACUCCUACGGGAGGCAGCAGUGGGGAAUAUUGGACAAUGGGCGCAAGCCUGAUCCAGCCAUGCCGCGUGAGUGAUGAAGGCCUUAGGGUUGUAAAGCUCUUUCACCGGUGAAGAUAAUGACGGUAACCGGAGAAGAAGCCCCGGCUAACUUCGUGCCAGCAGCCGCGGUAAUACGAAGGGGGCUAGCGUUGUUCGGAUUUACUGGGCGUAAAGCGCACGUAGGCGGAUCGAUCAGUCAGGGGUGAAAUCCCAGAGCUCAACUCUGGAACUGCCUUUGAUACUGUCGAUCUGGAGUAUGGAAGAGGUGAGUGGAAUUCCGAGUGUAGAGGUGAAAUUCGUAGA
This 557-nucleotide ribosomal RNA is filed under the name uncultured bacterium. RNAcentral's name for it is "bacterial SSU rRNA". It matches the Rfam family "Bacterial small subunit ribosomal RNA", at positions 102 to 694 of the family's 1533-position model. The record is from RNAcentral.